This 435-nucleotide ribosomal RNA is filed under the name uncultured Chryseobacterium sp. RNAcentral describes it as "bacterial SSU rRNA". It matches the Rfam family "Bacterial small subunit ribosomal RNA", at positions 358 to 790 of the family's 1533-position model. The record is from RNAcentral. Lineage: Bacteria; Pseudomonadati; Bacteroidota; Flavobacteriia; Flavobacteriales; Weeksellaceae.
GGAAUAUUGGACAAUGGGUGAAAGCCUGAUCCAGCCAUCCCGCGUGAAGGAUGACGGUCCUAUGGAUUGUAAACUUCUUUUGUAUAGGGAUAAACCUAGAUACGUGUAUCUAGCUGAAGGUACUAUACGAAUAAGCACCGGCUAACUCCGUGCCAGCAGCCGCGGUAAUACGGAGGGUGCAAGCGUUAUCCGGAUUUAUUGGGUUUAAAGGGUCCGUAGGCGGACCGAUAAGUCAGUGGUGAAAUCUCAUAGCUUAACUAUGAAACUGCCAUUGAUACUGUCGGUCUUGAGUAAAUUAGAGGUAGCUGGAAUAAGUAGUGUAGCGGUGAAAUGCAUAGAUAUUACUUAGAACACCAAUUGCGAAGGCAGGUUACCAUGAUUUAACUGACGCUGAGGGACGAAAGCGUGGGUAGCGAACAGGAUUAGAUACCCUGG